This 116-nucleotide ribosomal RNA is filed under the name Chelonia mydas (Green sea turtle). Lineage: Eukaryota; Metazoa; Chordata; Testudines; Cheloniidae. The record is from RNAcentral.
UCCUGCAGCCGCGCCGCCGUGGACUGUGAUCCCCUUAGACCUCACAAGCUAAACAGGGCUGGGCUGGUUCAGCGCUUGGAUGGGAGUCCUCCAUGGAACAGCUAGGGUCACAGUGA